GUCUACCUCCAUACCAUCCUGAAUGUCCCCCGAUCUCGGAAGCUAAGCAGGGUCAGGCCUGUUAGUACUUGGAUGGGACAAUAGGGCUAAGGUGAGUAGAUU
Molecule: ribosomal RNA, 102 nt
Filed under: Gorilla gorilla gorilla (western lowland gorilla)
Lineage: Eukaryota; Metazoa; Chordata; Mammalia; Primates; Hominidae
Source: RNAcentral